GAGUUUGAUCAUGGCUCAGAUUGAACGCUGGCGGCAGGCCUAACACAUGCAAGUCGAGCGGUAGAGAGAAGCUUGCUUCUCUUGAGAGCGGCGGACGGGUGAGUAAUGCCUAGGAAUCUGCCUGGUAGUGGGGGAUAACGCUCGGAAACGGACGCUAAUACCGCAUACGUCCUACGGGAGAAAGCAGGGGACCUUCGGGCCUUGCGCUAUCAGAUGAGCCUAGGUCGGAUUAGCUAGUUGGUGAGGUAAUGGCUCACCAAGGCGACGAUCCGUAACUGGUCUGAGAGGAUGAUCAGUCACACUGGAACUGAGACACGGUCCAGACUCCUACGGGAGGCAGCAGUGGGGAAUAUUGGACAAUGGGCGAAAGCCUGAUCCAGCCAUGCCGCGUGUGUGAAGAAGGUCUUCGGAUUGUAAAGCACUUUAAGUUGGAGGAAGGGCAGUAAAUUAAUACUUUAGCUGUUUGACGUUACCGACAGAAUAAGCACCGGCUAAC
This 496-nucleotide ribosomal RNA is filed under the name uncultured bacterium. Its description in RNAcentral is "bacterial SSU rRNA". It matches the Rfam family "Bacterial small subunit ribosomal RNA", at positions 9 to 501 of the family's 1533-position model. The record is from RNAcentral.